CUGUAUUCCUGUACGCUUGCAAAAUAAGACAUAGAUACUUUAGUCUGCUUUUCCAGAAGGUUCUGUUUCUAGUCACACUUCACUACAGAAUAGUAGAUAGAUGCAGUGCAGUUUUUACAGAGCUGCCUAUAUAUAACUCAGAGCUGAAACAAUGGAGGAGUUACAUUUCUAAGUCUUGACAGGCUAGUUAAGUUUGCAUUGCAGCUUUAGCUAGAACCAUGCUAUACCUUGUUAGACUUACAAUGGUUUGUUUUGUUCUUAACCUCAAUUUUCAGGAUCAGUUGGAGAGGAAAACACGCACUAAGAGAAACUUAAGUGAAAUUCCAAACAGGGUGACACAGCUUUCUCAAGAAAUAAAUGAACAUUUGCCAGGCUGCUGUAAGGAAGUAUUGCAGAGAGCCCUAAAAGCUGAAAUGCAGCUUCUAAGGAUCCGCUAUCAAAUAUAUCAACAGCAUUGCUGGCAGACUUGCAAGUCUUUAGUGGAAGAAAAGACAUUCGAAAACGGUUCUAGCUCUGAAUCAGAAAAAUCUGUGUGCCAAGCAUCAUUAGCUCAGAAUAUUGAACCUUCUUCACACCCUUUUGUGACAUCACAAAAAAGCAUUGGUGAGAACAGUGACCCUCAGAUGUCCCUUUCCUACAAGAACACUGGGGAGAAGAAAUAUGAUCUUGUGGAAAAUAGUAAGUUAAGUGUCUGAAAAACUCAAGACAUCUUGAACCAUGAAUUGCUUAGUUUGAACUAUAGCUACCCAAGGUUAAAUACAAUAUGCAGAUGCAGCCAACUUUUGAAUACCACAGAUUUAAUAUUACAUGGUUGGUAAAUGUGACUUCCCUUGUUUCAUAGUGUCCUGAAACCCUUCAGUAAUGUGAUUUACUGACAUUGCUAGAUUGGGCCACUCCUCCAUUGACACGCUAGUGGACAGC
This is a long non-coding RNA of Salvator merianae (Argentine black and white tegu), 921 nucleotides long. The record is from Ensembl. Lineage: Eukaryota; Metazoa; Chordata; Lepidosauria; Squamata; Teiidae.